AUUGAACGCUGGCGGCAGGCCUAACACAUGCAAGUCGAGCGGCAGCACGGGUACUUGUACCUGGUGGCGAGCGGCGGACGGGUGAGUAAUGCCUAGGAAUCUGCCUAGUAGUGGGGGAUAACGUCCGGAAACGGGCGCUAAUACCGCAUACGUCCUACGGGAGAAAGUGGGGGAUCUUCGGACCUCACGCU
This 191-nucleotide ribosomal RNA is filed under the name uncultured Pseudomonas sp. RNAcentral's name for it is "partial 16S ribosomal RNA". It matches the Rfam family "Bacterial small subunit ribosomal RNA", at positions 30 to 219 of the family's 1533-position model. The record is from RNAcentral. Lineage: Bacteria; Pseudomonadati; Pseudomonadota; Gammaproteobacteria; Pseudomonadales; Pseudomonadaceae.